CGGAUGGACUUUUUCACUGAUGGACUGGAGUGGUGUGGAUUACUUCUGGAUUAUUGAGAUGUUUUUAUCAGCUGUUUGGACUCUCAUUCUGACGGCACCCAUUCACUGCAGAGGAUCCACUGUGUGACAUCAAAUGGAAUUUCACUAAGUUCCUCAUCGACCGUGAAGGCCAGGUUGUGAAGAGAUACUCCCCAGUGCAGGAACCAAGCAUACAUUGCUCAGCUUCUAUUAAUGUUUGAUUGUAUUUCAAUCUGGUUCGAGUCAUAAACUAAGGCAUGUUUAAGAUAAGCUACAGUAUCUAAAUAUCACAGUGAUAUUGUGCAAUCCCUCCUGAGAGCAUCAUCAGUGUCCAGCAUCACUCUGGAGAGAGACCCCCGUUUCUUCAGCUGCCACUAUGCUUUGAAAUGAAAUUA
Cyprinus carpio carpio is the source of this 413-nucleotide long non-coding RNA. Lineage: Eukaryota; Metazoa; Chordata; Actinopteri; Cypriniformes; Cyprinidae. The record is from Ensembl.